AGUGAACGCUGGCGGUAGGCCUAACACAUGCAAGUCGAACGGCAGCACAGUAAGAGCUUGCUCUUACGGGUGGCGAGUGGCGGACGGGUGAGGAAUACAUCGGAAUCUACUUUUUCGUGGGGGCUAACGUAGGGAAACUUACGCUAAUACCGCAUACGACCUACGGGUGAAAGCAGGGGAUCUUCGGACCUUGCGCGAUUGAAUGAGCCCAUGUCGGAUUAGCUAGUUGGCGGGGUAAAGGCCCACCAAGGCGACGAUCCGUAGCUGGUCUGAGAGGAUGAUUCGCCACACUGGAAUUGAGGCAAGGACCAGACUCCUGCAGGAGGCAGCAGUGGGGAAUAUUGGACGAUGGAGGGAUGCCUGAUCCAGCAAAACCGACUGGGGCAAGAAGGCCUUCGGGUUGUAAAGCCAUUUUGUUGGGAAAGAAAAACAGCAGGUUAAUACCCCGCUGUUCUGACGGUACCCAAAGAAUAAGCACCGGCUAACUUCGUG
RNAcentral lists this ribosomal RNA (492 nucleotides) under uncultured bacterium. RNAcentral describes it as "partial 16S ribosomal RNA". It matches the Rfam family "Bacterial small subunit ribosomal RNA", at positions 29 to 507 of the family's 1533-position model. The record is from RNAcentral.